UCAGACUGAAAAUGAUCUCAGGUGUUUCAGUGAUCUGAGGUCAGACACCUGAGCCGAAAUGGUCCCGGUGCAUUAAGCUUAUCGACUGCUCCUCCCGUUGGCAGAGUGAUAAAACCCAUGCUCCGACAAAC
Molecule: small nucleolar RNA, 131 nt
Filed under: Kryptolebias marmoratus (mangrove rivulus)
Lineage: Eukaryota; Metazoa; Chordata; Actinopteri; Cyprinodontiformes; Rivulidae
Description: Small nucleolar RNA ACA64 (ENSKMAG00000005880.1)
Rfam family: Small nucleolar RNA ACA64
Source: Rfam by way of RNAcentral